GACGAACGCUGGCGGCGUGCCUAAUACAUGCAAGUCGAACGCACGGUUUAUACCGUCGCUUGCUACACGAUAGACUGUGAGUUGUGAACCGGUGAUUAACUCGUAGGUAACCUGCCUGGUAGCGGGUGGUAACUAUUGGAAACGAUAGCUAAUAUCUCAUAAUAUUAAUUAUUGCAUGAUAAUUAAUUGUAAUGUGCAAUUGCACCACUACCAGAUGGACCUGCGUUGUAUUAGCUAGUAGGUGAGGUAACGGCUCACCUAGGCGACGAUACAUAGCCGACCUGAGAGGGUGAUCGGCCACACUGGAACUGAGACACGGCCCAGACUCCUACGGGAGGCAGCAGUAGGGAAUCUGCGGCAAUGGACGAAAGUCUGACGGAGCAACGCCGCGUGAGUGAAGAAGGUUUUCGGAUCGUAAAGCUCUGUUGUAAGAGAAGAACGGGUGUGAGAGUGGAAAGUCAACGCUUGGCGGUAACUUUACAAGAAGCCGAGGCUUACUACGUU
Molecule: ribosomal RNA, 504 nt
Filed under: uncultured bacterium
Lineage: Bacteria
Description: partial 16S ribosomal RNA
Rfam family: Bacterial small subunit ribosomal RNA
Source: RNAcentral